AUGGAAGGUUGUAAUUCAAUAGAAUCUCUGACAUAUCUAUUCUUUGAAUGCAGUGUGGUUUUUCAGGUUUGGUCUGUAAUUUUCAAUUGGUUAGGAGUCCUCACUGUCUCACAUCGCAACGUUGUUGUGUUUUAUGAUAUAUUGUCUAGAAAUUCACUUUUUUAUUUUAUUUCACCAAAGAAAAUACCCACUCCUCUCUCUACUUGUAUGUUAUUACUAGUACUAGCAAAACUAGAAACAACCAUGCAAAAUAACAAAAAGCCUAUUGAUACAAUAAUAUCCUAA
Molecule: non-coding RNA, 285 nt
Organism: Vicia faba (fava bean)
Lineage: Eukaryota; Viridiplantae; Streptophyta; Magnoliopsida; Fabales; Fabaceae
Source: the annotation of a GenBank genome assembly